Molecule: ribosomal RNA, 506 nt
Filed under: uncultured Chloroflexota bacterium
Lineage: Bacteria; Bacillati; Chloroflexota
Description: bacterial SSU rRNA
Rfam family: Bacterial small subunit ribosomal RNA
Source: RNAcentral
GAUUUAUUGGGCGUAAAGCGCGCGCAGGCGGCGCUCAGCAGUGGCGCGUGGAAUCUCCCGGCUUACCUGGGAGGGGUCGUGCCAAACGGGAGUGCUUGAGGCAGGCAGAGGAUCGCGGAACGGGCGGAGUAGGGGUGAAAUCCGUAGAGACCGUCCGGAACACCAGUGGCGAAGGCGGCGGUCUAGGCCUGUCCUGACGCUCAGGCGCGAAAGCGUGGGGAGCGAACGGAAUUAGAUACUCCGGUAGUCCACGCCCUAAACGAUGGCCACUCGGUGUCGGGGGUAUCGACCCCCCCGGCGCCCCAGCUAACGCGGUAAGUGGCCCGCCUGGGGACUACGGCCGCAAGGCUAAAACUCAAAGGAAUUGACGGGGGCCCGCACAAGCAGCGGAGCGUGUGGAUUAAUUCGAUGCAACGCGAAGAACCUUACCUAGGCUUGACAUGGCUCUGGUAGGGACCCGAAAGGGAACCGACCCGCAAGGGAGGAGUCACAGGUGCUGCAUGGCU